CAAUUCUGGCCCACUUCACCGCUUGCGGCACCUUUAGGGGAUGACCGCAAGAGGAAAGUCCGGGCAACGCAGGGCACCACGCCGGCUAACGGCCGGGGCUUCGUAUUCUUUCGGGGGUGCGAGGUACGGAAAGUGCCACAGAAAGCUAUACCGCCUUCCUCUUUCGGGAGGGAGGUAAGGGUGAAAACGUGCGGUAAGAGCGCACGACGCUCCGUAGCAAUACGGAGGGUGGGUAAACCCCGUGGGUUGAAAUACCACGCAGUAUUGUUGCCUCCGGGCAGUCGUCGGCUCCGGCGAUCUUUACGGGCGAUACGGGUAGGUAGAUUGAGUCCGUCAGCAAUGGCGGAUCUGGAUAAAUGGUGAAGCUCUCCGCCUUGGCGGAGAUGACAAAACCCGGCUUAUCGGAGCCACGAAUUGCAAU
RNAcentral lists this RNase P RNA (421 nucleotides) under Neolewinella aurantiaca. RNAcentral's name for it is "Lewinella sp. SSH13 RNase P RNA component class A". It matches the Rfam family "Bacterial RNase P class A". Rfam says of the family: Ribonuclease P (RNase P) is a ubiquitous endoribonuclease, found in archaea, bacteria and eukarya as well as chloroplasts and mitochondria. Its best characterised activity is the generation of mature 5'-ends of tRNAs by cleaving the 5'-leader elements of precursor-tRNAs. Cellular RNase Ps are ribonucleoproteins. Lineage: Bacteria; Pseudomonadati; Bacteroidota; Saprospiria; Saprospirales; Lewinellaceae. The record is from RNAcentral.